RNAcentral lists this long non-coding RNA (795 nucleotides) under Bos taurus (domestic cattle). RNAcentral describes it as "long non-coding RNA NONBTAT006295". The record is from RNAcentral. Lineage: Eukaryota; Metazoa; Chordata; Mammalia; Artiodactyla; Bovidae.
AGCAGGCACUAAAAAGCAAUGCUUUCUACUGACAGCAUUUCCCCCAAAUACCCCAUUUUUAGCUAUUUUAUCAUUUUAUUUGAAUAGGUUAGAUUUGGUGUAGAAAACAACUUGAAAGAUGGCUUAAUUCUUAAAAGUAGAAUGCUUUAAAUCUUAUCAUGGAUGAAGGGCAACAGAGGUUUUGUUAUGACUGUGGUUCUCUCACUCCCCGGCUCCCUCAUUUGAAAAAGAUGACCACAGGCCACUCGGCAGUUGUAUUUGAUGAUAGUCACGAACCCUUUGGGACCUAGCGAUUUUUUCUUAUCCUGAGUUCUUCCUCUAAGUAUAUAGAUUUUGAUACAUGAAACACUUUGGAAACUACACUAAUGUCUGGUUAUUCCAGAGAGCUUAUGUUUCAAUGGCUGACUAUCAUCCAACCAUUAAUUAUAAAAAUAGGAAUUUAAGGUCAUGUUGUAGGAAAAUAUUGAUUAAUGGCAUUUUUUUAAAAACAUAUAUGAUCUGCCUGCCUGGGUUAUUUUACACCCAGGAUAUUUUCAGUUAUUGAAGUCAUGGAACAAGUAUAUUUGGGGGGUAUUGAGUUCUUCCCUAAAAAUCUAAAUCUAUUCUAAAGCUUUCUACCAGUGAUCACAGAGGUUCCCCGAACAGCUGGGACACUUUGGAAGAAGAAGCUUUGCUAUCAUCACAGGGCUUGGUCAAAUCACAGUCAUUGCUUUCCAAUUAGCAGAGUGUAAGGGAAAAGGCGUAAAAAGCAAAGCGAGGGUUUACAGUCUGCAGUGAUGCAUCUUUCUCUCCCCG